Molecule: transfer RNA, 94 nt
Filed under: Mailhella sp.
Lineage: Bacteria; Pseudomonadati; Thermodesulfobacteriota; Desulfovibrionia; Desulfovibrionales; Desulfovibrionaceae
Description: tRNA-Sec
Rfam family: Selenocysteine transfer RNA
Source: RNAcentral
GGAAGCGUGUCGUAACCGGUGUUGCGCCUGGUCUUCAAAACCAGUGACAGACUGAAAAGUUUGUGGCAGGUUCGACUCCUGUACGUUUCCGCCA